Molecule: non-coding RNA, 1672 nt
Organism: Petromyzon marinus (sea lamprey)
Lineage: Eukaryota; Metazoa; Chordata; Hyperoartia; Petromyzontiformes; Petromyzontidae
Source: RefSeq, a predicted model, not a curated record
GACAACACAGAAAUACCAUCUGAACCAAGGAACAAGGUGCAUUGCAUGGCCUACGUCGCUGAUCUGAAUCAAUUUCUAAACAUGGAAUUAGAUGAUUUGGAGAAGUUGAAGAAAUUUGGGAACCAUGCACGUCGUAAACAUAAUAUCAACACGUUUGUUAUAAUCACCAAAAUAGAUGCGUAUUUAUCUGGGAAAACAUCAAUUCGUGACAUCUACAAAGUGAAGGACAUUGAGAUGCAGAUGAAGAAAAUAUGUUCAGCUUUAGAAUGCGAUAAGAAGUUCAUCUUCCCAAUCAUAAACUAUAGCGACUGCUUUAACUUGAACUACGAUAAAAAUAUCCUCGCCUUGUCUCUCUUGAGCGCACUCGUUGACACCGCUUCUGAUUGCAUGUCCAAUAAUAAAGACAGCAGCGAAUGAAAAGGAACAAACUCCCAUUCCACAUCAGUCUCUCAUCCUUACUUUCCUUCUUUCGCUCAGCCCUCAAGUCCUUUCUCUUUUCCAUUGCCUUUCCUUUUCCACUGCGUCCACCCCUACCAGUUUAUUCCCUCGCCUCUGUCUCACUCCCAGCCCCCAGUCCUCUUCCUCCUAUGAACCCGAAUUCCUGACUGGGCCCCCACGUUUCUCUAUGCACACCGACCCAGAUCUCUCCUCUAGCCCUACACGGUGCUCCUCAUUCAGCUCAACUAUCCGGCCACCAGACACGCUGCCCCUACCACCAUCCAUGCCCAUUUGACCACUUCAUGCUUGUGCCACAUACCCCGCUUCCUCUCAUCCUCGUUGCAUCCAUCCGUCACUCUCACUCAGAAUCACAUUCCACCUUAUUCUGCUUUACCUACCCCAGCAACAUCAGCUCAUUUCCCAGCCCUUGUCCCUCCAUACAUUCCGUCACCUCCCUCACUGACAGACGCUCCACCCCACUCGUUGCUCCGUUUGCCACAUGUGUACUGCCGUCGGUUUGCAUUGUAAAGCGCCCUGGAAAGAGCGCUGCUAUAUAAAUCCUUAUUACAAUAGAAUGUUAUACUGUGCUAAGAAACAUAAUGGUAUGCAGUGGAUUGAGGAAAUGUCGAAAUGAUAAGUGUUACUAAAAAAUACUCGGAUAUUACUAUGCAUCUCGAUCAGAGCUUGUACAAUCAAUAGGUGUAACCACAUUUUGAUCUACAUGUGACUUGGAAAAGUCUGACGAUAAUGAAUAAUAAUCUACAUUUUCAGUGUUCAUAGUUGUCACUUGAAGCUUACUGCAUGCGUAUUAGGAUUCAUAAUUACGGUAUUUACCCUUUUUCCUGGUGAGAUGUGGUUAUUAUGAGGUCUCCUUCCACUGCAAAUAUCUAGAAUAAUCUCACUGCUGUUUCUGAAUUUAAUGUAUCUUCAAUUCGAAUUAUAAAUUAUCUGCAUCGUUGAGGUAUGGGUUUUUUGUCUUCAGGAGAUGUGACGAUGGCGUGAAUCUGCGUAACUCCACGUUGGUCCUCACCAGACUACGUUAGCGCCAUCACCUUGAUGGCGAAUGAGCAAACUCUAUUCUGCUAGUUUGUCAGUAUUCUUACAACAACGUCAUAGCAUUACUGUGGUAGUGGUUACUGGUAGAGUAAUGAAUUAUAACAAUAAUUAAAAUAACUGUAGGUGAUUGGUAAUUGUGAUGUAAAGCUUUCGUGACUGCAGGAAUUCAUAUUAUUUG